UUUUUUAAUUAAAGUGACAGCUUCUGGAGUAUUCCGUGACAUCUUACGGCUUGCAUUAUAACUUGGUGGUCCAUCGUAAUUCAUUGACUGCAACCCGGUACUCUUCUUUUUUGAGUACCACAUUUCAGAUUUUGACUUUGUUGUAUGAUUUUCAUGUGGAGAAGUAUCCCAGAUAGAAGGAUUUCAUUGAGUUAUCAUUGGUAGAUGAAGAUGCCUUUGAAUUUCUUCUCAUUAUGGCCACAGAAAAGGCAAAAGGUUUUAAUUUCCAAAGGGAGGUUGGGAAAAUGAUGAAACAAUCAAAGAUACAGCACAUCAUGAGACAGUGGAGUAGGAGGGGAUGUUAAGAUUCGUUCUCCCUUAUAUUCUUUUUCAGCAAUCUGGGGACAUGGUACUUUAAGAACAAAACUAGUUACGCUGCCUAUAAAGGGAACAACUAGACUAUUGGCCUGAGAAAGGGACUCGCUAAAGAACUUGGAUGAAUGGCAAGAUAAUUUGCCAAAACGGGUGGAUGAAAGAAGCCUUGGAAAUGUUAGUAGGUCGCCUCACAAUUUGCGACUUGAAUCAUUUGUUGGGAGGUCAGGAAAAGAUGAAAAAAUUGAUGAUGCAGCACAGUAUGAGACACUGGAGGAAGCUGGAGUACGAGGGAAUGUUAAGUGCAAACUAGGAGAGGAAGAUGGUAUGUUGAGAACAAAACCGGUGACAUUGCCUGUGAAGGGCACAUUUUUCUUUGUUAGUAACAGAACAACUAGACUCUUGGCCCGAGAAAUAGAUUUACGAAAGACUUGGGUAUGCAAUAAGCCAUUCUUCUUCAAUCUAUAUUUUGAUUACUUAUAAGUGGUUUUAACAAGUUUCACUCUUUUGGUUUUGAAUCACUUUUGUAGUGUAAAAUGGGAAGAUGGCACUUUGAGAACAAAGCCGCUGACACUGCCUAUGAAGGCCACAUGUUUCCUCUAUUUGUAACAGAACAACUAGGCUAUUGGCCUGAGAAAGGUAUUCGUGAAAGAACUUGGGUAUGGAAUAGUUCAUUCUAUUUAAAUUUCAUUUUGCUAUAUAUUCACACUUCUGUUUGCUGACAAGUAGCUUGUCCAAAAACCAAUUACAGAUGAAUGUGCACGUAGCAAGAAAAUUUUGCCCAAAUGGGGCCGCAGAAUUAUUAGAAGUUGCCUCACAUCACAAAGCAAACAGACCAAAGGGGAACUGUAAUCGAAUGUAGCUCCAUUGUUUGAGUAGCUAUACUUCCUUUAGGAUGUAGAGCUCAAAUAUUUUCUCUGCCACUUCCAAGUUCUACUAAAGAAGUGUAGAGUUUAUUGAUACCGAUCCACUGUCAAAUCUACAUGUGGUAGAAUAGUUAGUGGAUAGGAACUAAUUACUGAAACUGGUCAAUCUAGCUGGUGGAUUAAGUAGUUCACAGCAACUCCACUGUUAAGGGAACAACCAAAAAAAAUACUAGAAGUAUAAUUUUUGUUAUCUCAGAAUGGGAGUUGUGUGACAUAAUAGAUAAUUAGAAUCAGAGCUAUCAAAGGAGAUGAACAUGUACAUAGCUAUCAGAAAUGUUGAUGUUGGAAAAUAACUGCAUCGGAUUAUUGGAUUUUCUCUUGAUUUUCUAAUUCUUUUUCCCUAGAUCUCUAGCAUUCUUUAAUUCUUCAUAUUGCUGGCAAAGCUAGAAGGUUGCAGUCAUUUAUCAUAGCAUUCAGAAGGUUUAACAGGUUUUAAUUUUGCUGGAAUAUUAUGCAUUCAGAUGAUAAAAAAGUCGCAUAGGAUUUUUUUUAAUAUCAAGUUUACUCUGCAAGCCAUUAUUUUGCAUUUUUUAGGACCAAGUUUCAGAUUUUGACUUUGUUGUUUAUAUGAUCCAUGUGGAAAGAUGUACUUUUGCUGUUAAGGUUGUAGUCACUUUAUUAACUAUACCUGUUCCCUGGUCA
Molecule: long non-coding RNA, 1919 nt
Organism: Lycium ferocissimum
Lineage: Eukaryota; Viridiplantae; Streptophyta; Magnoliopsida; Solanales; Solanaceae
Exons: 6
Source: RefSeq, a predicted model, not a curated record